CCCUUAGAUGUUCUGGGCCGCACGCGCGCUACACUGAUGCAUUCAACGAGCCUAGCCUUGACCGAGAGGUCCGGGUAAUCUUUGAAACUGCAUCGUGAUGGGGCUAGAUUAUUGCAAUUAUUAAUCUUCAACGAGGAAUGCCUAGUAAGCGUGAUUCAUCAAAUCGCGUUGAUUACGUCCCUGCCCUUUGUACACACCGCCCGUCGCUCCUACCGAUUGAGUGUUUUGGUGAGGAGUUUGGAUUGGCCUCGGAAGGUGGUUCGCCACCGUCCGUAGCUGAGAAGUUCUCCAAACCGCCCCACUUAGAGGAAGGAGAAGUCGUAACA
RNAcentral lists this ribosomal RNA (326 nucleotides) under uncultured eukaryote. RNAcentral's name for it is "partial 18S ribosomal RNA". It matches the Rfam family "Eukaryotic small subunit ribosomal RNA", at positions 1470 to 1796 of the family's 1831-position model. The record is from RNAcentral.